UACGGAGGGAGCUAGCGUUGUUCGGAAUUACUGGGCGUAAAGCGCGCGUAGGCGGCUUUGUAAGUUAGAGGUGAAAGCCCGGAGCUCAACUCCGGAACUGCCUUUAAAACUGCAUCGCUUGAAUCCAGGAGAGGUGAGUGGAAUUCCGAGUGUAGAGGUGAAAUUCGUAGAUAUUCGGAAGAACACCAGUGGCGAAGGCGGCUCACUGGACUGGUAUUGACGCUGAG
This 227-nucleotide ribosomal RNA is filed under the name uncultured bacterium. Its description in RNAcentral is "partial 16S ribosomal RNA". It matches the Rfam family "Bacterial small subunit ribosomal RNA", at positions 524 to 750 of the family's 1533-position model. The record is from RNAcentral.